Molecule: microRNA precursor, 81 nt
Filed under: Bombyx mori (domestic silkworm)
Lineage: Eukaryota; Metazoa; Arthropoda; Insecta; Lepidoptera; Bombycidae
Description: mir-2807 microRNA precursor family
Rfam family: mir-2807 microRNA precursor family
Source: Rfam by way of RNAcentral
UUAACUCAAAUUUGUAUGUAGUUGGAACGUUUGUCUACGUUUGCUAGAGACGCUUAUCCAACUGCAUACAAAUGUUAAUUU